ACGUAGGGUGCAAGCGUUAAUCGGAAUUACUGGGCGUAAAGCGUGCGCAGGCGGUAAUGUAAGACAGAUGUGAAAUCCCCGGGCUCAACCUCGGAACUGCCUUUGAUACUGUUGGUCUCGAGUCCGGAAGAGGUGGGUGGAAUUCCUAGUGUAGAGGUGAAAUUCGUAGAUAUUAGGAAGAACACCGGUGGCGAAGGCGGCCCACUGGUCCGGUACUGACGCUGAGGUGCGAAAGCGUGGGGAGCAAACAGGA
Molecule: ribosomal RNA, 253 nt
Filed under: uncultured prokaryote
Description: partial 16S ribosomal RNA
Rfam family: Bacterial small subunit ribosomal RNA
Source: RNAcentral